RNAcentral lists this ribosomal RNA (378 nucleotides) under uncultured bacterium. RNAcentral's name for it is "bacterial SSU rRNA". It matches the Rfam family "Bacterial small subunit ribosomal RNA", at positions 28 to 424 of the family's 1533-position model. The record is from RNAcentral.
GAUGAACGCUGGCGGCGUGCCUAAUACAUGCAAGUCGAGCGGUAAGGCUCCUUCGGGAGUACACGAGCGGCGGACGGCUGAGUAACACGUAGGAACGUACCCCAAACUGAGGGAUAAGCACCAGAAAUGGUGUCUAAUACCGCAUGUGCUCUUCGGAGUAAAGCUUCGGCGGUUUGGGAACGGCCUGCGCAUGAUUAGCUUGUUGGUAAGGUAAUGGCUUACCAAGGCGACGAUCAUUAGCUGGUCUGAGAGGAUGAUCAGCCAGACUGGGACUGAGACACGGCCCAGACUCCUACGGGAGGCAGCAGUAGGGAAUUUUCCACAAUGGGCGAAAGCCUGAUGGAGCAACGCCGCGUGCAGGAUGAAUGCCUUCGGGUU